RNAcentral lists this ribosomal RNA (253 nucleotides) under uncultured bacterium. RNAcentral describes it as "partial 16S ribosomal RNA". It matches the Rfam family "Bacterial small subunit ribosomal RNA", at positions 524 to 776 of the family's 1533-position model. The record is from RNAcentral.
UACGGGGGGGGCAAGCGUUGUUCGGAAUUACUGGGCGUAAAGGGCUCGUAGGCGGCCAACUAAGUCCGACGUGAAAUCCCAAGGCUUAACCUUGGAACUGCGUCGGAUACUGGAUGGCUUGAAUUCGGGAGAGGGAUGCAGAAUUCCAGGUGUAGCGGUGAAAUGCGUAGAUAUCUGGAGGAAUACCGGUGGCGAAGGCGGCAUCCUGGACCGACAUUGACGCUGAGGAGCGAAGGCGUGGGGAGCGAACGGG